This 449-nucleotide long non-coding RNA is filed under the name Homo sapiens (human). RNAcentral describes it as "HSALNT0352150". Lineage: Eukaryota; Metazoa; Chordata; Mammalia; Primates; Hominidae. The record is from RNAcentral.
CAGAGGACCAGAUUUGCCCGUCUUCUUUCAAGCAGAUGACUGAGUCAAUCCCACAUUACAUAUGAGGAAACUGAGUUAAAGAAGGCCAUGUGAGAACACAGCUAGAAGGUGACCAUCUACAAGACAGGAAGAGAUCCCUCACCAGAAACCAACUGGCCAAAACAACAUAACUUUGGACUUCCCAGCCUGCUGAACCAUGAGAAAAUAAAUUUCUGUGGUUGAGGCCACCUAGUCUAUGGUACUUUGUUAUGGCAGUUCAAGGAAACAUAUAUAAGCAGGAAAUAACUCUCUGGAAUGAGGAUGGGGUGCAGGUAAGCAAUAGCGAGUGGCUGGGUGCCUGAUAUACAAAAGGAGUAAAGGUAUACAAACCUUUCCUUUGCUAAAGGAAACCAAAAAAUUUCACCCCAAAACAUAUUUCUUUGAUGUAUCUUGAGGUGGCUAUUCAGAAG